This 253-nucleotide ribosomal RNA is filed under the name uncultured bacterium. RNAcentral describes it as "partial 16S ribosomal RNA". It matches the Rfam family "Bacterial small subunit ribosomal RNA", at positions 524 to 776 of the family's 1533-position model. The record is from RNAcentral.
UACGAAGGGGGCUAGCGUUGUUCGGAAUUACUGGGCGUAAAGGGCGCGUAGGCGGCGUGUCAAGUCAGGCGUGAAAGCCCCGGGCUCAACCUGGGAACCGCGCUUGAGACUGGCAUGCUCGAGUUCGGGAGAGGAUGGUGGAAUUCCCAGCGUAGAGGUGAAAUUCGUAGAUAUUGGGAAGAACACCGAUGGCGAAGGCAGCCAUCUGGACCGACACUGACGCUGAGGCGCGAAAGCGUGGGGAGCAAACAGG